Molecule: ribosomal RNA, 510 nt
Filed under: uncultured bacterium
Lineage: Bacteria
Description: bacterial SSU rRNA
Rfam family: Bacterial small subunit ribosomal RNA
Source: RNAcentral
AGAACGAACGCUGGCGGUGCGCUUAACACAUGCAAGUCGUGCGGUCUUUUUUCUGAAAGCUUCGGCCGGAUGGAAAAAGAUAGCGGCAAACGGGUGAGUAACACGUGGAUAAUCUGCCUUCAGGACAGGGAUAAGCUCGCGAAAGCGGGUCUAAUACCGGAUAUGACUACGCGGGUCAGCCCGCGCAGUAAAAGGAGCAAUCCACCUGAAGAUGAGUCCGCGUCCCAUUAGCUUGUUGGUGGGGUAAAAGCCUACCAAGGCUACGAUGGGUAGCCGGCCUGAGAGGGUGUCCGGCCACACUGGGACUGAGACACGGCCCAGACUCCUACGGGAGGCAGCAGUGGGGAAUCUUGCGCAAUGGGGGAAACCCUGACGCAGCGACACCGCGUGGAGGACUAAGGCCUUCGGGUUGUAAACUCCUGUGUUACGGGAAGAAACCAUUGUUUUUUAAUAGUGGUUGACGGUACCGUAGUAGAAAUCCCCGGCUAACUCCGUGCCAGCAGCCGCGGU